GACGAACGCUGGCGGCGUGCUUAACACAUGCAAGUCGAGCGGUAAGGCCCUUUCGGGGGUACACGAGCGGCGAACGGGUGAGUAACACGUGGGUGACCUGCCCUCAGCUCUGGGAUAAGCCUGGGAAACCGGGUCUAAUACCGGAUAUGACUCCAUGACGCAUGUUGUGGGGUGGAAAGCCUUGUGCGGCUGAGGAUGGGCCCGCGGCCUAUCAGCUUGUUGGUGGGGUGAUGGCCUACCAAGGCGACGACGGGUAGCCGGCCUGAGAGGGCGACCGGCCACACUGGGACUGAGACACGGCCCAGACUCCUACGGGAGGCAGCAGGUGGGGAAUCUUGCGCAAUGGGCGAAAGCCUGACGCAGCGACGCCGCGUGAGGGAU
Molecule: ribosomal RNA, 381 nt
Filed under: uncultured bacterium
Lineage: Bacteria
Description: bacterial SSU rRNA
Rfam family: Bacterial small subunit ribosomal RNA
Source: RNAcentral